GGAGAGAUGCUAGAGUGGUCGAAUAGGACAGUCUCGAAAACUGUUGUAUCGGAAACGGUACCGUGGGUUCGAAUCCCACUCUCUCCGCCA
This 90-nucleotide transfer RNA is filed under the name Candidatus Moraniibacteriota bacterium. RNAcentral describes it as "Candidatus Moranbacteria bacterium tRNA-Ser". It matches the Rfam family "tRNA". Rfam says of the family: Transfer RNA (tRNA) molecules are approximately 80 nucleotides in length. Their secondary structure includes four short double-helical elements and three loops (D, anti-codon, and T loops). Lineage: Bacteria; Candidatus Moraniibacteriota. The record is from RNAcentral.